This 237-nucleotide ribosomal RNA is filed under the name Babesia sp. RNAcentral describes it as "partial small subunit ribosomal RNA". It matches the Rfam family "Eukaryotic small subunit ribosomal RNA", at positions 610 to 867 of the family's 1831-position model. The record is from RNAcentral. Lineage: Eukaryota; Apicomplexa; Aconoidasida; Piroplasmida; Babesiidae.
ACUUGUUGCAGUUAAAAAGCUCGUAGUUGAACUUCUGCUGCUUGGAUUUCGUUCCCUUCGGGGCUUCGUUUUCCUGGUGGCAUUAUUCCGGUUAANNUUGGCNUCGGCCUUCNUUUUCCGGUNUUACUUUGAGAAAAUUAGAGUGUUUCAAGCAGGCUUUUGCCUUGAAUACNUCAGCAUGGAAUAAUAAAGUAGGACUUUGGUUCUAUUNNGUUGCGUUUCCAGGCAGCCAAGNUA